Aricia agestis (brown argus) is the source of this 373-nucleotide long non-coding RNA. RefSeq lists it as uncharacterized. Lineage: Eukaryota; Metazoa; Arthropoda; Insecta; Lepidoptera; Lycaenidae. The record is from RefSeq and is a predicted model, not a curated record. The transcript has 3 exons.
UGAAAGAAAUCUUGAAUGCAUCAUUGGCCUCAAGACCAGGCUCAAUCAAUAUUUACAGCGAUGAGCUGGGUCGUGGUGUCGGAAUGCAACUGAGUAAGUUGUACGAAGGACAGUCAGUAUGCAAUACCUGUAUGCCGGGUGCUACAUUUGAACAAAUAUCAAAUAAAGUUUUAAGCAUUACUCACUGCCCGAAUACUACAUUAAUAAUAUUGUCAGGGAGACGGGGAAAUGUCAAUAAAGAUCAAUUGGAAAAGUAUAUAGAAUCACUAAGUUUACUUAAAAAUGUAAGUAAAGUUAUCUUAUUUACAUUUCCCUACAUAAAACGGUUGCCAUGGGAAAACAAAUUAAGAUAUAAGCUUAAUAGCCAAUUGUA